GGCUAUACAUGCAGUCGAGCGGACAGAUGGGAGCUUGCUCCCUGAUGUUAGCGGCGGACGGGUGAGUAACACGUGGGUAACCUGCCUGUAAGACUGGGAUAACUCCGGGAAACCGGGGCUAAUACCGGAUGGUUGUUUGAACCGCAUGGUUCAGACAUAAAAGGUGGCUUCGGCUACCACUUACAGAUGGACCCGCGGCGCAUUAGCUAGUUGGUGAGGUAACGGCUCACCAAGGCGACGAUGCGUAGCCGACCUGAGAGGGUGAUCGGCCACACUGGGACUGAGACACGGCCCAGACUCCUACGGGAGGCAGCAGUAGGGAAUCUUCCGCAAUGGACGAAAGUCUGACGGAGCAACGCCGCGUGAGUGAUGAAGGUUUUCGGAUCGUAAAGCUCUGUUGUUAGGGAAGAACAAGUGCCGUUCAAAUAGGGCGGCACCUUGACGGUACCUAACCAGAAAGCCACGGCUAACUACGUGCCAGCAGCCGCGGUAAUACGUAGGUGGCAAGCGUUGUCCGGAAUUAUUGGGCGUAAAGGGCUCGCAGGCGGUUUCUUAAGUCUGAUGUGAAAGCCCCCGGCUCAACCGGGGAGGGUCAUUGGAAACUGGGGAACUUGAGUGCAGAAGAGGAGAGUGGAAUUCCACGUGUAGCGGUGAAAUGCGUAGAGAUGUGGAGGAACACCAGUGGCGAAGGCGACUCUCUGGUCUGUAACUGACGCUGAGGAGCGAAAGCGUGGGGAGCGAACAGGAUUAGAUACCCUGGUAGUCCACGCCGUAAACGAUGAGUGCUAAGUGUUAGGGGGUUUCCGCCCCUUAGUGCUGCAGCUAACGCAUUAAGCACUCCGCCUGGGGAGUACGGUCGCAAGACUGAGACUCAAAGGAAUUGACGGGGGCCCGCACAAGCGGUGGAGCAUGUGGGUUAAUUCGAAGGCACCGCGAAGAACCUUACCAGGUCUUGACAUCCUCUGACAAUCCUAAGAGAUAGGAAGGCCCCCUCCGGGGGAGA
This 1003-nucleotide ribosomal RNA is filed under the name Bacillus siamensis. Its description in RNAcentral is "bacterial SSU rRNA". It matches the Rfam family "Bacterial small subunit ribosomal RNA", at positions 45 to 1030 of the family's 1533-position model. The record is from RNAcentral. Lineage: Bacteria; Bacillati; Bacillota; Bacilli; Caryophanales; Bacillaceae.